RNAcentral lists this ribosomal RNA (492 nucleotides) under uncultured bacterium. Its description in RNAcentral is "partial 16S ribosomal RNA". It matches the Rfam family "Bacterial small subunit ribosomal RNA", at positions 29 to 507 of the family's 1533-position model. The record is from RNAcentral.
AGUGAACGCUGGCGGUAGGCCUAACACAUGCAAGUCGAACGGCAGCACAGUAAGAGCUUGCUCUUACGGGUGGCGAGUGGCGGACGGGUGAGGAAUACAUCGGAAUCUACUUUUUCGUGGGGGAUAACGUAGGGAAACUUACGCUAAUACCGCAUACGACCUACGGGUGAAAGCAGGGGAUCUUCGGACCUUGCGCGAUUGAAUGAGCCGAUGUCGGAUUAGCUAGUUGGCGGGGUAAAGGCCCACCAAGGCGACGAUCCGUAGCUGGUCUGAGAGGAUGAUCAGUAACACUGGAAAUGAGACAUGGUCCAGACUCUUGCGGGAGGCAGCGGUGGGGAAUAUUGGAAGAUGGGGGCAGGCCUGAUCCAGCCAUAACGCGUGGGUGAAGAAGGCCUUCGGGUUGUAAAGCCCGUUUGUUGGGAAAGAAGAGAAGAAGGUUAAUACCCCGCUGUUCUGACGGUACCCAAAGAAUAGGCAACGGCUAAGUUCGUG